RNAcentral lists this unclassified non-coding RNA (28 nucleotides) under Mus musculus (house mouse). RNAcentral describes it as "5'-R(*GP*GP*CP*CP*AP*AP*AP*GP*GP*CP*CP*CP*UP*UP*UP*UP*CP*AP*GP*GP*GP*CP*CP*AP*CP... from Mus musculus (PDB 1JU7, chain A)". It matches the Rfam family "Histone 3' UTR stem-loop", at positions 1 to 26 of the family's 46-position model. From Rfam's summary of the family: The mRNAs of metazoan histone genes lack a poly-A tail. 3' end processing occurs at a site between a highly conserved stem-loop (modelled by this family) and a purine rich region around 20 nts downstream (the histone downstream element, or HDE). The stem-loop is bound by a 31 kDa stem-loop binding protein (SLBP - also termed the histone hairpin binding protein, or HBP). The record is from RNAcentral. Lineage: Eukaryota; Metazoa; Chordata; Mammalia; Rodentia; Muridae.
GGCCAAAGGCCCUUUUCAGGGCCACCCA